AGCAAUCUACACACAUACACUCACACACCCCGUCCCUUUCCCUCCUCGCAGAAGCCGAGGAGAUGCCAUGUGAGGGUGCAGCGAGGAGUUGGGCUGUCUAAAAGCAAAGAAAGAGAUUGCAUCAGACACCGCAUCUGCUGACACCUUGUUCUUGGACUUCCAGCUUCCAAAACCGCGAGAAAUAAAUGUCUGUGUCUAAACCCCAACCCUACCACCUCAACUGCCGUGUGUGGUGUUUUGUGAUGGCAGCCCCAGCUGACUGAGACACCUGGUUAGACCGGAAUAAGCAGUACCUGAGUCCCUUAAGAGUGGCCAAAGAAGAAAGAAUCCACUGAGUUGACAUUCCAGUUCAGCUGCAAUCGGUAGCAGUCACCAUUGAACAUCCUUGAAGCAAUUCUUCCAAAAUUACCUUGCAUCAAAGACUGCACAAGAACUGCUCUAAGCGGAAGGACUGAUGUCGGCAACCAGGGUUCCACCAGGGGCUGCAGACAGCCCUUGACCUUCAGGUGGGAAGGUGUCACUGAGUUCAGACCCUCUGGCAAUCCCUAGCUAUCAACAUUUUGAUAAGAAAAUAAGUGGAAAGGUAGAACUGGAAGAUUUUGCUGAAAGAUUGGACAUGGCAUUCAGAGAAACAGAGGUUUUAAUGACAAACUCCAAGUUUUUGGCUGGAGCAACUGGAAGAAUGAGGUUGCCAUGAACCGAAAAGAGAGAUUGCAGAAGUAACCAAAUUUACUCACGUAGGCCAGGAAUUUCUAUGACGUGUUCCAAAUUCAGCCUCUCACUGAACACUUCCAGAGCAAGGCAACAUAAACAUCUGCAAGAAGAACAUUGUGUGAGAAAUAUCAAGUGAGAGUGGAAGAGUCUGCGGAGGGCCUCCCUGGGGCUCACCUGUGCUUUUGCCUGAGCUUCACCGUGUCAAGCACUUUUUCCCUCUGGAGGAAGCAGCUUUCACCUUGGAAGAAUCUUGACCUUGCCAUUCAAAGUCACCAGACAGGGAAUCUGCCAGUGCCUUGAUCUUAGACUUCCCAGCUUCUGUAACUGUGAGCAAUAAAUGUAUGCUGCUUAUAAACUA
Molecule: long non-coding RNA, 1072 nt
Filed under: Homo sapiens (human)
Lineage: Eukaryota; Metazoa; Chordata; Mammalia; Primates; Hominidae
Description: HSALNT0338171
Source: RNAcentral